GGCGAGAGCCUGAACCAGCCAAGUAGCGUGAAGGAUGACUGCCUAUGGGUUGUAAACUUCUUUUAUAAAGGAAUAAGUCGGGUAUGGAUACCCGUUUGCAUGUACUUUAUGAAUAAGGAUCGGCUAACUCCGUGCCAGCAGCCGCGGUAAUACGGAGGAUUCGAGCGUUAUCCGGAUUUAUUGGGUUUAAAGGGAGCGUAGAUGGAUGUUUAAGUCAGUUGUGAAAGUUUGCGGCUCAUCCGUAAAAUUGCAGUUGAUACUGGAUAUCUUGAGUGCAGUUGAGGCAGGCGGAAUUCGUGGUGUAGCGGUGAAAUGCUUAGAUAUCACGAAGAACUCCGAUUGCGAAGGCAGCCUGCUAAGCUGCAACUGACAUU
Molecule: ribosomal RNA, 374 nt
Filed under: uncultured bacterium
Lineage: Bacteria
Description: bacterial SSU rRNA
Rfam family: Bacterial small subunit ribosomal RNA
Source: RNAcentral